GAAUUGCUGAGUGGAAGGGUACAUGCAUACGUGGUUUUGUUAGAUGUUGCUGAGUUCAUCUCCACAGGGGUUGUGCCGUAUCACAGUCCCACCUGCAAUGUACCAGAGAGCCUUUUUCCUUAGCCUCACCAACAGCUGGCCUCCUUGUACAGAUCUACUUUCUGGACUCAUGUACCCACACAAGCCUGCCUUUGGAAUGGUAGAGAGUUGACUGUGCUAUCAUGUUUGAAUCUUCAGGGAAGGUCUAUUCGGCUGGCCAUGAGACAUGAGAAAGGCUGCCUUUACCUUUGCGACAUCAUAAUCUUCUCAUGGGCAUUGGCCACUUGACAGUCUAAAAAUAUGAUUUGCAAUGGAGGCAUUUGGUGGAGGUGAUGUUAGCUCUGCCUUUGGAGGAACUAGAGAAUCAUGUCAGCCACAUGGGCAGUAGUGAUUGAGCUGCAAUAAAAACUCUGGCCACUGAGGCUCAGGUGAGCAUCCCUGCUUGGCAAUAUUCCAUGCAUAUUGUCACACAUCAUGGCUGGGAGGAGGUACCACUGUCCAUGACUCCAUGAAAAGAG
This is a long non-coding RNA of Homo sapiens (human), 557 nucleotides long. RefSeq lists it as uncharacterized. The transcript is spliced from 3 exons. The record is from RefSeq and is a predicted model, not a curated record. NCBI's taxonomy places the organism in Eukaryota, Metazoa, Chordata, Mammalia, Primates, Hominidae.